ACAUGCUGCUAGAGGCCAAGGCUGUGGGUUUUGUGUUCAGUUCUACAUGGAAAAUGAAGGGACUCUGUGUAUGUUUUUUUUAAAUAGGUCAAUUAGCGCACCCUAUUCUACAUGCAACUUAUGUUUCAGUUAUUCUUUGUAUUUUUCAAGUGUGGCUCGAAGAAGGUUUUCCCUAGGUCUGACUUUAGAUAGGUUGGAUGGGCUUAUCGUAUUUCAUUUGUGUGGCAGGAGGAACCAUGCUUUAUGAUUGUUUGAUGCUCUAUAUGGGAUACAUGGGAGGUGGCUUCAAAACUUAUAUCCAUGUCUUUUUAGCCAAGCCAAUGUGUAGUUCACAAUAUGCGACAUGCAAGAAUGUUAUGUGUGUUGGGUUUUCCCAUAUGUAUUUUCCAAUUAUGGGGUGAACAACAUUAUGAAUGGCUAUGUAUUGUACACAUGAGUCAACCUCUUCCUAAUAUGCAUUUUC
RNAcentral lists this long non-coding RNA (463 nucleotides) under Hordeum vulgare. RNAcentral's name for it is "long non-coding RNA (HVUL_LNC007220)". Lineage: Eukaryota; Viridiplantae; Streptophyta; Magnoliopsida; Poales; Poaceae. The record is from RNAcentral.